RNAcentral lists this long non-coding RNA (10907 nucleotides) under Lactuca sativa (garden lettuce). RNAcentral's name for it is "long non-coding RNA (LSAT_LNC008998)". Lineage: Eukaryota; Viridiplantae; Streptophyta; Magnoliopsida; Asterales; Asteraceae. The record is from RNAcentral.
AUUGUUGAUGUAUCUGAAGUUAAGAUGAGCGAGCUUGCGGUGCCAUAGCCAGCUGACUUCGGAUACGACUUUGGAUAGAAAGCGUAACUACAGUUUGCCUAUGAUCAGAGAUACAUCCAGAGGGUACAUAGUACCUUCGGAUCUAGACUUGAUCAAACUAGUGUUCAUAUCACUUGUCAUUACAUUGCAAAAUUGGUCAUCAAAUUCAACACGAUGGCCUGCUUUACAUAGUUGACCAACAUUGAUGAGAUUGUGCUUAAUUCCUUCUUCAAAAGCAAGCUUUUGAAUAGAGAAGUUUCCCGUAGUAAGAACACCAUAACCUAGGAUUAUCCCAUUCCCAUUGUUCCCAAAUGUGACAUUUCCACCAUUGCAAAUUGGUCUGAAAUCUCGAAUGUAUUCUAACCUUCCCGUCAUGUGCAAGGAGCAUGCACUGCCGAUUAACCAUUCUUCUUCUUGUUCCUCCUUGCACAAGGCCUGAAAAUUACAUGGUUAGUUUAGGCAUCCAAACUAGUUUGGAGCCUGGUACAAUAGAUGAGUUUCUGAUUAAUGCAUGAAACGAGGUUGAAGGGACUGGUUUUGUGUCAAAUUUUAAUCCUAUUCCUAGGUGUCUAUGAGUUUUUGGAGUGAUGUGCCUUUUUGAAAAGUUACGAGGUUUCUGAAAAGGAUCAGUUUUGACUCGAGAUAACCUUUUCUGACAACUACAUUAACAUUGACAAGCUAACAUUUUGUCUUCUGUUUUGGCACUUUGUUUGGUCAACGGUCGGAAGGAUGUAGUAGAUUUGUGAUUGGUCCGAGGUUGGUAAGAUCAGAAAUGUGUGCUGUUGGAAUUAGAAAAAGUUUGUCUCGAAGAAGAUUUAGCACUUGUAGAUACCUUGGGCCUUUUCUUGGGAUUCGGUAAAAUUCCCUUCCACUUGUUAUAAUUUUUAUGUGAUUUAAAAAGUGUUGGAAUGGGUAAGAUACCCUUCCAUGUUGGAUUGUCCGAGGAAUAGAUUUCAAAACUAUUGCUUCGAAAAGACCUUUCUUUCUUUUGGGUUUUGUCAGAUGAAUUAGGAAUGGAUGUUGAAACUGCACAUUCCUUUUUGCAUGUUUUCUAGAUGGGAGAGUUUUUUGAAAAAUAGUGAUCAAAAACAAACUUUUCUGGACUCUUAGAUUUUGGAAAUCAUAUACGUCUUUUAUUUUUAGAAAAGGUUUGUCGAUUUGUGCCUUGAGAUCGAAUAUCCUCUUUGAAAGACUUUUUUGCUAAAGUUUUUGGAGAACCAUAGUCAUUAGAGUUUAACUGCGGUUUCCUGGAAACCUUCGAAAUUUUUUGAUAACGAGGGUUUGACUCAUCAGAACUUGAAGAUUCAGAGUUUUGAGAGCAUUGACCUACUUCAGAAUUUUCUAUGGGUAGUUCAUGACGAAUUGGAUAAGAGUCACUGAGCUUUUUAUUGUGGACUUUGGUAAGGAAAACUUAGCUACCUUAGCGUAAGUCUGAGUUGUGACUGGAGUGGGAUUUUUCUAAGGAUCAGGACUGUAGUGAGGGGCACAUCGGUCUGAGGAUAAAGGUGGAAAGUCCUGUAAGACUUCGUGACUUUCUAUGUCAAUUUCUUCAUUAACAACAUAUGAGGUCUGAGAAUUUGAGUUGAUUGUGCCACGGAUAGGAGGUUGAUCACAUGUGUGUUCCGAAACCUCAAACACAAUUUCCUCAAUGACACAAUUAUUACUUAGAUUAUGAAGUCUACCAAAGUGGGUUCUGAUAUCUUCGGGAAAAGUGUGACACCCCCAAACCAGAACGGCGGAAUCAUUCGAGGGAGGAUGACUUCAUGUUGUAUCGAAACAAUAAAGAAAGCAAUACAACCAUCACAUAUAUAAUUUAAAAGUUUACAAUGUUGAAAGGUACUUGUUUCAAAAGAAAAUUACAAUAUGAUGUUUAAAAUGAAAUUAAACUAACGCCAUAGCGUCCCUUCUUCAAAAGUUGUAGUUUUACCUGAAUUACUGAAUCCUUGAGAAAUACAAGUAGUUUUGAAAGAGUAGAUCAACAUUUAAGCUGGUGAGUUCAUACCGAAGGUUUAUACAGAAGUUCAUACCGAUGGUGUCUAGUCCACCUGCUGUCUUGGGUAAUUUGGUUAUGAAGUCCAAUGUUAUCAGUUCCCACUUCUACUUAGGUAUUUCAGGUUGUUGCAGCAAUCACGAUGGCUUCUGGUACUCUACCUUGACCUUAGCACAAGUUAGACACUUGCUCACAUAGGUAGCGAUCUCUACUUUCAUGUUCGGCCACCAAUAUAGUUUCUUGAGGUCCAAAUACAUCUUUUCCGAACCUGGAUGCAUGGAGUAUUGAGUCUUAUGAGACUCGUUCAUGACCACGCCUCUGAAUCCACCAAACUUCGGUGUCCAGAUCCGAUCCAUGAUGUAAUGAACUCUUUCACCCUUGACUUCAAGAUUGUUGUCCAUUCCUCUUAGGGCUUCACCUGCCACGUUCUCUGUUUCCAAGGCCUCUCUCUGAGCUUCCUUGAUUUGUGUGGACAGAUGUGAAUGGAUCGUCAUGGUUAAGGAUUUCACUCGGCGACCUGAGUAUUCUUUCCAACUAAGGGCAUCAGCUACUACAUUCGUUUUUCCUGGGUGAUAGCGAAUCUCGCAUUCGUAGUCAUUCAGUAGUUCAACCCAUCGUCUCUUCCUCAUGUUGAGUUCUUUUUGGUUAAGGAUGUGAUGAAGGCUCUUGUGAUCGGUGAAGAUCAUGCAUUUUGUUCCAUAAAGACAAUGUCUCCAGAUUUUUAGCGCGAAAACAACUGCUCCUAGUUCAAGAUCAUGGGUAGUGUAGUUGACUUCGUGCGUCUUGAGUUGUCUUGAGGCGUAAGCAAUGAACUUACCUCGUUGCAUUAGUACACAUCCAAGACCAUGAUUAGAUGCAUCACAGUAGACCAUGAAGUCUUCUGUUCCUUCUGGCAAGCACAAUAUAGCUGUGUUGCACAAUGCUUGCUUCAGUGUUUCGAAUGCAGCGUCUUGUCUUUCUUCCCAAUUGAAAGUAACACCCUUUUGGGCCAGGGUGGUAAGGCCCAAGAAUUGUCGAAUUUUCUGUUAGGGUUCUUGGAAUAAAUGAGUAUAUCGUCUAUGAACAUGAUCACAAAUUUGUCCAAGAAUGAACGACACGCUAUGUUCAUUAAGUCCAUGAACACCGCCGAUGCGUUUGUUAAUCCAAAGGGCAUCACUACAAACUCGUAGUGACCAUAACGAGUUCGAAAAGUUGUUUUGGGAACAUCUCCUCCGAGGACUCGUAGUUGGUGGUACCCGGAUCUUAAGUUGAUCUUUGAGAAAUAAGUCGCUCCCUGGAGUUGGUCGAAUAGGUCGCCGAUGCGUGGUAGUGGGUAUCGGUUCUUGAUAGUGAGCUCGUUAAGUUCUCGGUAGUCGAUGCACAUACGGAAAGAUCCAUCCUUCUUCUUUACGAAUAAGACUGGUGCUCCCCAAGGUGAGAAGCUCGGCCUCAUGAAUCCUUUGUUGAGUAGUUCGUUUAGUUGGCUGGAUAACUCCUGCAUCUCUGCCGGUGCUAGAUGGUACGACGACUUAGCUACUGGUGUAGCUCUAGGAAUUAAGUCGAUUCUGAACUCGACCUGACGUUCCAGUGGAACUCCAGGAGAUCUUCAGGGAAGAUAUCGGGAAAAUCGCAGACAUCUGGAAUGCAUUUGAUGCUCUUCAUUUCUUUUUCCUUAUCUACCACGUGGGCUAAGAAGGCAUAGCACUCCUAACGUAGGUAUUUCUGGGCUUUGACAUAAGAGAUGAUUUGUAAAUUGGUACCGGGUUUGUUGCCAUAAAUGACAAGAGUUUCGCCGCUUGGCAGAUUUAGGCGAACGACCCUUUCGUGACAAAGUAUAUCGGCAUGGUGUAGGCUUAACCAAUCCAUACCGAUGAUAAAAUCAAAGCUCUUUAUAAUUAUUGACAUUAGAUCGAUUUGAAAUGAGUGAUCGUUUAGAGUUAGUGUGCAGCCUAUGUACAUAUCAUUUAUGCUUUCUGCUCUACCGUUUGCCAUUUCUAUUGUGAAUAUCUUAUUAAGUGUUUUAGGGUUCUGUUUUAGUAUAUGCUAGAAUUCAUCACUCACGAAACUCCUUUUUGCACCACAAUCAAAGAGUAUACAUGCAUAACCGUUAUUAAGGAGAAACGUACCCGUAACCACCGUGGGAUCAGCUAUUGCUUCGUUCUGCCCUAUUGCCAUCAUUCUUCCAAGGCCACCACCAUUCCUUGCCUUAGGGCAGUCCCUCUUAUAGUGUCCAGCCUCACGGCAUCCAUAACAUGCCUAGCCUACACUAGCUCCUUGGACUUGGGUGAUUGGUUGUGCUGGUGCUCUACAGAAACGGGCAGUGUGCCCCUUCUUGUUGCAGUUGUUGCAAUGCGUCUCCCGACGAUUUCCAUUGUGAUUUAAAUUGCAUUUGUUGCAUUUUGGCAGGUUUCCAGCAUACGGCUUCGCUAGUGUAGUGGUAAUUGGUGCAGCAGUGGGGGUAGUAGCGGCAUGGACUGCCACGAUUUGUUGUUUCUUGGAAGGUUCCUGUGAAGGUUGACUCUUCCUUUUGUUCUAGAACCUCUUCUUCUUGUUGUUAUUGGUAUUGUCGUUGUUGUUGCUGCUUCCUCUGGGUUGUUCCGGUGCGGUAGUUGCGAAGUUUUGGCAGACCCCAUGGUCUACGAGAGCUUGUGCCAAUUGUUUGGCGGAAUCGAAGGUGAUUGGUUUGGAAGCUAGAACACUUCCUCGAAUCUGGGGUGACAGUCCCCAGAUGUACCUUUGAUAUUCUUGCUCUCUAGAGCAACUAUUCCUGGGCAAAGGAUUGCCAAAUCAUUGAACCUGUUGGUAUAGGUCGUGAUAUCUGAGCCUACCAUGCUAAGGCCCCAAAGUUCCUGUUCAAGCUUUUGCAAUUUGCCCCGAGGACAGUACUCCUACAAUAAGAUUUGUUUUACGUUCUCCCAGCACAUAGAGUUAGCGGCUACUAGCGUUAGUGACUUGACAUGGCCAUUCCACCAUGUCAUAGCUCUCUUAGAGAAAGUAUUAGCAGCGAACUUCACUUUGUUCCCUUUCGGACAAGAACAAAACUCGAAAACUGCUUCAGUUUUCUCUAUCCACUGUGAUAGAGCCAUUAUCCCACCUGUCCCAUUAAAAGUAAUGGGUUUGCUAUUCAUGAAAUCCUUGUAUGUACAAUUCCCUAAACGACCUAGGCAUUGGCCAUUCGUAGACCUAUUCGCUCCCACACCAGAACCAUUGUUACUCAUUUGGGCCAUUACCGCUGUUACUGCAGCCGUUACAGCAGCUAUCAGUGCGGCAUUUUCCGUUGUUGGAGGCGGUGUUGGUGGAGGUAUCGUUCCUAGCCUGGGUCUUAGGUUUGGAUGAGGAGGCAUCGCGCUGCCAAGAAAUUAAAAUAAAAGAUUAUAAGUUUUGGUGGUUGAGAGUUGAAUGAUAAUGAGUUAACUAUCUUUAAUAGUUCGAGAAUUUGGUUUAACCAACACAGGGUUUUGAGUUUGAUUUACUAAUGGAGUUUGAAUAACAAUAAACAAACUCAUGAACUCGAAUGAAAUGCAUAGAUUUAACACACAAAAGAGAUAUGUCCUAUAUAUAUUAAACGUAUGGUUGUGUUACAUCCGAAGUUAGAAAAUUGUGACCUUUCUAAAGGUCUUUGAUUACAGGAAGUUAAAGAGGGUAAGACUUUUAGCCGGUGGUCCUAUUCUAUAUCAAAAUUUUGGGAUUCGGCAAGCACUACAUGGGACGUAGGCUGCGCUUGGAGCUUGACUCCGCAUCCGAAUACUUUGCUUCCAUAGGACGCCUAUCGAAGGCGGCUUGUUGUUCCCUCAUCUCGGAGAGGGCUGCAAUCAUUUGUGCUUGGAAUGCGUCAGUUUGGAGUUGGGCAUUAUCAUGUGCUCUAUCCAGCCUACGGAUGUCGGAAGUGCGAACCUGUACUUCCACGUUGACCUCACGAAUCCGGCUAGCUUGAACCCCGGAUUGAUAGGACUAGUUGACUAGCUUGCCCACCAUGACUGGGAGUGCUCGAUCGGAUGAACCUCCGCCGUGGACAUCGUAGAAGUCUCGAAACAUGCCGUAGGGAGGAUGUAUCCCUUCUUGCUGGCUCCAAUGGUGGAGGUGACUUCCCUAAACGGGAGUCGGUCCCUGGAAGUUCCUCCUAAUAGCAGGAGGUUGAGCGGCUGGAGGGUCGAAUACUUAUGGUUUUGAGUCCGUCCCAGAGUCAUCCCCUCUCUCCAACUCGAUAGGUUCCUCAUCCUCUUCGGGAUCUUCUUCGAUCCAUCCCCCGUUACCUUGGUUAGGGUAGUAGGGGUCGACGGGGUGAUGAAAUCCAACCAUUGAGUCUAUACGUGAAUAGGGUUAUAGGAAUUGAACAAAUUCUGAAACAUGUAAAACUAAACAUGCUGCUUAAACUAUUGCAUCUACCAAAUACUCCUAUAGUAUUGAAAUUUAUAUGUUUGAUACUAGUGUUUAUUUUUGCUAUGUUUUGACUUGUUGCUCACUAUGACCCUUCCUCGACAUACAUUAGUCUAAUCUCUGAUAAAUAUAGUUGAUCAGACUAUAUUCCUCCCAAAUUCGAUUACAUAUAUUGAGAACUAAUCGUAGUCUCCAACUCGUUUCAAUACUUCUUGUAUAGUUCUAACCAUGAAAAUAUAUCGUUGUAAGCAUGUACUUGUAUUUUUACGACCCAAAAUAAUCUAAAUUAAAUGAAACGAGGCUUUAGGUGUAAAAACAUUUUGUCAGAGAGUUUUAGUCCCUUAUGCAUUUAUAGUUUGUAUAUCUUAUGUGGUCCGGUAUAAUUAGUUCACUAUAAACAAUGCUCUGAUACCAAUCUAUCACACCCCCAAACCAGAACGGCGGAAUCGUUCGAUGGCGGACGACUUCAUAAAAAUUUACAUUUUUGAAAGGUACUUGUUUGAAAAAAAUUACAAUAUGAUGUUUAAAAUGAAAUUAAACUAAUGCCAUAUCGUCCCUUCUUCAAAAGCUGUAGUUUUACCUGAACUACUGAAUCCCUGAGAAAUACAAGUAGUUUUGAAAGAGUAGAUCAACAUUUAAGCUGGUGAGUUCAUAAGUAUUUAGUGAAAAUGUUGAUAAGAAAAGAAUUAAAAUGGUUUGUUCAUGUUAAAUGUUCCAAGAAAAUCCCAUAUUUUCUACUAUAGUAAAUGGUAGUUUGAUUUUUCGAGAACUACGAUUGCAAUAGUGUUAUUCAUGUCUACAAUAGUAUUUUUAUGUGUAAAUCGUUAAUUGAUUUGAAAAACCUCGUAAAUCAAUGUGUUUUUACUACUCCAUGUGAGUUUUAUAACCAUUCUAUUUGACCAGGAUGCCUAUAACAACGUUCUUCAAGCGUUGAAAAGUUAUGACGUUCAUCACCCCAGGCCUACUGACCUAGUUUUAGCUAACAACUUAGGUGCGGGAUUGUCAAUCCCGUAUAGAUCUAGACACAACUAUCACACUCCCCCUACAAGGGAAUAUGGUAUAUAAUACAAGACUUAAAAUGCAUACUCGAAUGUAUGUGAAAUGUCUCCCAAAACUUAGUAUAAAACAGAUUUACGUAUCAAAAAUGUCCAUUUAUUCUUGUGUAAGAAAAUAUCUCUUUGAUAUAAUGUUUCUAUUGUGUAAAUGUUCCUGAUUUCUCGUAAACUAUACCUAUUAUAGUUUUUCAAAGUGUGUGUUUCGUUCGUAUCGUAAACCCUAGUGUAAUGCUCACUCAUUAUGUAACGUAUAACACUUAAAGUGACUUGAGUGAUCACAUAUACCUAAUGUAAAAAUGGAGCAUUUUAUUUGCAUAUAUAUAUAUAUNAGACAAGGUGUUAUUGAAAAUAUAUAUUUCAUACGAGAAUACUCAUGUAGUAGUUUAUGAAUCACACAUGAUUACAUAGAUAGAAAGUUUAUAUAGUGAAUCGUUAAGUUAUACAUGAUAAUAACCGUUUGUUUUACUUGAAUCCCCCCCUAAUAUUUUAUAAAAAGCAUUUAUCAAACAUUUAAAAGCGUAGUUUAUAGGGGUAUGAACUCACUUGAAAGAUCGAAGAAGGCGAAAUGAGAACCGAGCAGAACUUUGACUCGAGAAAGGAGAUUUUCUCGGGAUUCUCGGAAAUCUCGGGAGCACAAACGACCUUCUGGGCUUGAGUAUGGAAACCGGGGUUUCGGGAUAUCACGUGCAUGAAAAACGAGGCAAAAACGCAAGAAAGAUGAGAGGAAAUGAGCAUUUUCCCCGGAACCCUCACAUCCGUUUUAUAGGGGCUGGGAAUCGCCUCGGUACGCUGGACGUACGGGGUUACGCUGGGCAUAUGCGUGCGUCAUGCAUGACAGCAUCCUCGACUGCCUCGGAGCUCGGAUGGGACGGGGCAUCGCCUCGCAUAGGGGGCGACGUGGACGAUCCGAGGCCUAGUCCUCAAGUACGCUGGGGGUACGAGAGUACGCUGGUCAUCUGAGAGUACGCUGGUCGUAAAUCGGAUUGGCCCGGUGACUCCUCCUUCGGAUAAUACCGAAAUUUGAUUUAAAUUUAUAUUUUUAUUAUUUAGUAAACUUCAAAUAUUCAUAUCUUCUUCAUACGAACUCCGGAGGGGCAUAAAGUCGCACAUUGUUAAACCGGGGUGAGGAAUCCUCUGCGUAGGAUAUCCUUUGGACUAAACCCAAUUAUAUGUAUUGUCCACAGUUCCAUUAUUGACCAAAUUUUCAAUAGCUUCACUUUCAUUGAGCAAUUUUUCUAUUAAUAGAUUUAAGCGUACAAUAUCACUCUGAGCUAAAUCUCUUUGGUUUAAAGCUAUCUCUAGUUGUGUUUCACUUAACAUUCUUGCGUCCUUUUCUAACUCUAAAUCUCUUUCUAACAUGGCCAUUUUGAGUCUUUUGUUGUGCAGUCAUCCUCUCACAUGAAACAUCUCUUGGGACACUAUGUUCUUCUCAUCUAAGGCUUUGAUGUACUCUGUAAGGACGGCAACACAAGUGUCAUUAAGAUUGUCUAUGAAAGGUUGACAGUCAUUCAUGUUAUAGUUUAGAGUUUGGAUCAUAAGUUUUACCAGUUCGACGAUGCUUAGAGCUCCAUCCUUUUCCAUGUAGCAGUAGUUCCUUUCCAACUUUGUAGACCCAUCAUCAUCAGCACUUGCUAGAAUGCAGAUCUUGCCUUUUCCUUUGAUAUUGCUGAUGGUUUCUUCCUUAUCUUCGGAUGACCAUACUUGAUGGUCUCUUUUGACAUGGGCCACAUAUGCCCUAUCCUUUUCCUUUUCCUCCAAUUCUUGAGCCAUUUUAAGGUAGAAUGCUCUGUCUUUCACAACAUUAACAUUGAAAUCCUUUGCAAAAUGAUUCUCUUGGUUGCACUUGUGAUAUAUUACAACAUCACUUUUGUCUUCUGAAGGAGUACCGGAGUCAGAGGUUUGAAUGGACUGCGGUACUUCCUUUGGUUGAGUGUUUUGAGAUUGCGGUUGUGGGUGAGGACUUUUAGGAUAAUGAGAGUGAUUGUUUUGUGGGUUGAAGUUAAGGUUGAAAUGAGGUUUGUUGAAUUAUUGAUUCUUGUGAAAAGAGUGAGGUGGUAGUCGGUUGAACUGUUUACUAACAAGAGCAAUAGCCUUCUGAAAUUCUUCUUCAUCAUCAUACUCUAUGUCGGUUUUGUACGACUGCGGUGUAGUGUCGUACGAGGAAGAGUAAGAUUGAUUACGAAGAGCUUGCGCUACAAGAGGAAGUGGUCCUCCGAAGUCAGCACAGUCUUUGAGUACAGUGGAUUCUUGUGCUUGCAGUUCCCCAUAGAGCUUGUAAAGAGACAGGGAAUGAAUCUUUCUAUCUUGUUGAACUAUCAUUUUAGCAGUAGUCCAAUGUCUUCCUAAAUCGUUGAAAAAUUGAAGGUUUGUUUCAUGGUUACUGCGAAUGAUGCUAGCCUUUGAUAACUUAGUGACUAUCAGAUUCAACCUUUUGAAAGAGUAUUCUAAACUUUCGCCUGUACGAGCUCUGAAGUUGUUGAAUACAUUGAGUGCAGUUGUGAGCUCCUUAUCUUGAGCUUGUUUUGAGCCUUCAUAUAACAUCCUGAGAACAUACCAUAUCUCUUUUUCCGAUUUACAGUUUAUGAUAAUGUCGAAGUUUUCAGGAGCAACUCCACAAGAGAUUUCAUAAAAGGCAACAACAUCAUUUUCCAUUUUUAUCAGGAUCGUCUUUGGUGGGACGGUUCAUGACUGGUUGUCCUCCUCCUAGUCUUGCUGUGGCGCCAUCAGUUUGAACAUGUGUAUGAACAGGGACAUGUGAUCCUUCUUCAACAGAUCGCCAUACAUCUUUACCAAGUCUCUUUAAGUAUCUUUCCAUUCUUUGAAACUAGUGAUGGUAUUCAUUUGCCACCAAUAUUAGAGCUUGAUUUGAACCACCAACACUGUUGCAAACAUUCAGAGAAAGUGUUUGUGCCAUUCUUCCUUUUUUUCUGUUUUUUUUUAAGAAAUGAGCUUCAGUGGUAUAGAAGGCCCUUUGAAAAUCAGUGUUUUAUUUUUUCAAAAAGCAACCACUAUGGCUCUGAUACCAAUUGUUGAGAGAAAAACUAAGACACACUUGAACAAACGUUAGAACAAGUAUAGUUGCGAAAUUAGUUAAUCUCAAGGAUCUAAAAGCUCAACAAUAAUAAGUUAAAGAGUUAGAUAGUUAGAUAGUUAGUUGCGUAAAUGUAAGGAAGCAUAAAUGACAGCAGGUGAUAUAUCAAGUGAAAUCAUAAGUUGAUUCAUAACAUGGAACGCAUUCAAAGCAAGUUAGUGAGUGAGAUCAAGCUUAGUGAUAAAAUCACGAAUGACUUGCUCCGAAGAGAAAUAUUUGUCAGUUACGUUGGAGAGGAUUUAGAGAGUAAGAAAAUUAUGAGAUGUGUAAGAGAAAUGUAAAUGAUAUACUUGAGGAUAGUUCAAAUAGAUAAAAGUGAAAAGAUUUUUUUUAACUAUGAAAGAAUGAGCUCUAUUUAUAGAAACUCAAGAAUUAC